RNAcentral lists this ribosomal RNA (757 nucleotides) under Streptomyces sp. RNAcentral's name for it is "bacterial SSU rRNA". It matches the Rfam family "Bacterial small subunit ribosomal RNA", at positions 56 to 829 of the family's 1533-position model. The record is from RNAcentral. Lineage: Bacteria; Bacillati; Actinomycetota; Actinomycetes; Kitasatosporales; Streptomycetaceae.
UGCAAGUCGAACGAUGAACCUCCUUCGGGAGGGGAUUAGUGGCGAACGGGUGAGUAACACGUGGGCAAUCUGCCCUGCACUCUGGGACAAGCCCUGGAAACGGGGUCUAAUACCGGAUAUGACUCGGGAGGGCAUCCUUCCGGGUGGAAAGCUCCGGCGGUGCAGGAUGAGCCCGCGGCCUAUCAGCUUGUUGGUGGGGUGAUGGCCUACCAAGGCGACGACGGGUAGCCGGCCUGAGAGGGCGACCGGCCACACUGGGACUGAGACACGGCCCAGACUCCUACGGGAGGCAGCAGUGGGGAAUAUUGCACAAUGGGCGAAAGCCUGAUGCAGCGACGCCGCGUGAGGGAUGACGGCCUUCGGGUUGUAAACCUCUUUCAGCAGGGAAGAAGCGCAAGUGACGGUACCUGCAGAAGAAGCGCCGGCUAACUACGUGCCAGCAGCCGCGGUAAUACGUAGGGCGCAAGCGUUGUCCGGAAUUAUUGGGCGUAAAGAGCUCGUAGGCGGCUUGUCGCGUCGGAUGUGAAAGCUCGGGGCUUAACCCCGGGUCUGCAUUCGAUACGGGCAGGCUAGAGUGUGGUAGGGGAGAUCGGAAUUCCUGGUGUAGCGGUGAAAUGCGCAGAUAUCAGGAGGAACACCGGUGGCGAAGGCGGAUCUCUGGGCCAUUACUGACGCUGAGGAGCGAAAGCGUGGGGAGCGAACAGGAUUAGAUACCCUGGUAGUCCACGCCGUAAACGUUGGGACUAGGUGUUGGCGA